AUUGAACGCUGGCGGCAGGCCUAACACAUGCAAGUCGAACGGUAACAGGAAACAGCUUGCUGUUUCGCUGACGAGUGGCGGACGGGUGAGUAAUGUCUGGGAAACUGCCUGAUGGAGGGGGAUAACUACUGGAAACGGUAGCUAAUACCGCAUAACGUCGCAAGACCAAAGAGGGGGACCUUCGGGCCUCUUGCCAUCGGAUGUGCCCAGAUGGGAUUAGCUAGUAGGUGGGGUAACGGCUCACCUAGGCGACGAUCCCUAGCUGGUCUGAGAGGAUGACCAGCCACACUGGAACUGAGACACGGUCCAGACUCCGACGGGAGGCAGCAGUGGGGAAUAUUGCACAAUGGGCGCAAGCCUGAUGCAGCCAUGCCGCGUGUAUGAAGAAGGCCUUCGGGUUGUAAAGUACUUUCAGCGGGGAGGAAGGUGUUGCGGUUAAUAACCGCAGCAAUUGACGUUACCCGCAGAAGAAGCACCGGCUAACUCCGUGCCAGCCGCCGUAACAC
This 506-nucleotide ribosomal RNA is filed under the name uncultured bacterium. RNAcentral's name for it is "partial 16S ribosomal RNA". It matches the Rfam family "Bacterial small subunit ribosomal RNA", at positions 30 to 526 of the family's 1533-position model. The record is from RNAcentral.